Long non-coding RNA from Daphnia pulex (common water flea), 1474 nucleotides. RefSeq lists it as uncharacterized. The transcript has 10 exons. NCBI's taxonomy places the organism in Eukaryota, Metazoa, Arthropoda, Branchiopoda, Diplostraca, Daphniidae. The record is from RefSeq and is a predicted model, not a curated record.
UUUUUACUGAUAAUUUUGUCGUUAAAUUGAAAAAAAUAACAAACUAGUUUGUUAUAGAGGACCAGAGUGUAUUCAAUUAUGCAAGUGCGUUAAUUUCUACAGUUACAAGAUUGGAUUCAUUUUAUUUCUUCAGAUGGAGACCGAGUGAUGGCUACGAUUCCUUCGUCAUCAAACAACCGUUGAUUGAUUUCACCUUGGCUCAAUUCGGCGAAAAUCAAUUCCAGCGUCGUAAUCUGUUUGGAGAAUUCGAGCCCAGUGACUGGUUUUAUGGUUUCCUACUCCGUCCCUUGAUGAGGUGAAUAUUACCAGGAAAUCCGACAAUCGACUUUCAUGAAAUAGGCCCAUGCAACCAAUGAACUCCGUUUGAUCAUUUCGUGCGAGUGUAAAUGUGCUGCUCACGAGGACGUCUUUUCUCCAGUUUUCCGCCACAUCUCUAAUUGGACCUACCUUUUGAUCUCUGUGAAUGGAACUUGGAGAUGGCUGGCCGUAUUUCUCAGGUUUCAAGAUGUGACAACACCUGAGCCAACACCCUCAACCAACCACUACGACAAGUUUUGCUUCUCCAUGCCAUGGUGUCAACCAGACAUCAGCAGGGAUCUCAGAUUCCUUAAUAAGUUGAAUUCCGUCUGAUGCAUCCUCCGAUCUGGCGAUCUCCCAUCUUUCACUGACUCCUCGUGUACGUCUAUUUUAGUGAGAAUUCAUCACGAGGACGUCCUUUCUCCCCACCUGACAUCUCUAUAAUUUAUCUUUCCUGCGAACGGAAACUGAAGGUGCUCGGCGGUAUUUCCCUGACUUGAAGUAGCGUUUGAGGAAAAUGGCCAGUAGAAUAAUGGCAACGACGACAAAGGACGCCACUGCAACGGCAGCAAUGAUUCCGGUUCCCACUCCGUGGAUCAUGACUUUAAAACACUUUUCUGCCGAUCCUUUGAAGUUGGUGAAUCGACAACAGUACGUGGUGUCGGUGCUGGCGUAGGAAACAGUGAGGAUACUGUUGAGCCCAUCAUCCGUCGUAUUGAUGUCAUGGUACUUGGUCCGUCCGUCGUCCAGGAUUUCUUCGACCGGUUUUUUCCUCUGUACAUCAGAUUGAGAAGGAUAACUCGAACGGAUGGAUGAGUCGGACCACAGCCAACCUGGACAUCGGAUUCCGAAUAAUAGCCAAUGACUCUACUCAUCAUCCUCCACUGAUUGAGGUCCCAGCCAUUCAACUUGACCGACACUAGUAAGGCACGUCAAAUUGAAAGUCGAUCCACUUUGGAAAAUGUGAAUUUUAUUUUCCUGAUCCUGAAUCCGUCCGUGAAAUCGCCCAUCGUCGUGUUGGCUCGAAUCUGGAAAACAUAUACAAAGUGGCGUUGCUUGUUGACUGGCUGACAUCGUUCGAAUCUCGACACUGGUAGAUGCCCGAAGCUUCUUUCGGGACUGCAGUCCACCGGAUGCGACUGACGACAGACGCAAUGAAAGUGAAACCGAUAUCCUG